This is a long non-coding RNA of Ceratina calcarata, 443 nucleotides long. RefSeq lists it as uncharacterized. The transcript is spliced from 2 exons. The record is from RefSeq and is a predicted model, not a curated record. NCBI's taxonomy places the organism in Eukaryota, Metazoa, Arthropoda, Insecta, Hymenoptera, Apidae.
CUACAAGCGCUCCAUCUCGCGGCCGGCUUCGUGCAUCUCCUAAAAGAAGGGGCGCGUGUCGAGUGACGCAGUACGUGCGUGUGUGCGUGCUGACUGUCAGGCAAGCGAAUUCUAAAUUCACUCCUCGAGGCUCGGAAUCUUCGACGCUUCGAGAUUCGGAGUCUUCGAGGCUCCGUGUGUUCGAAACCCAGACAAUCCAUUCUUUUUUCUUUGUUGUUUAUUCAUCUGAAAAAAUUCCAACACGUCCGUAGCAUAACUGGACACGUCUGAGAAUUAUUUCAGAUUUUUUUGUUACAAAAUGUAACCGUGAAAAAUAAGAAGAUUUUUAGGUUUGGUGCGUCAAUGCGAAAAAAAUCAAAAACUAUGUACGUCUCAUGUUGAAGUACGUAAAUGAAAGACGCGCUUCCAGCAGCGGCAACAGCGAAGGGGUGAUGACACGAGGU